This 105-nucleotide small RNA is filed under the name Salmonella enterica. RNAcentral's name for it is "RtT sRNA". It matches the Rfam family "RtT RNA", at positions 18 to 118 of the family's 130-position model. From Rfam's summary of the family: This family represents a bacterial cis-regulatory element known as RtT RNA. RNAcentral also lists the same sequence under 4 other names. Lineage: Bacteria; Pseudomonadati; Pseudomonadota; Gammaproteobacteria; Enterobacterales; Enterobacteriaceae. The record is from RNAcentral.
GAGGAUGAGAACCUCCGGGGGCAAGAGGUUCGACCCGAGCGAAGCGAGAGAACGUUGCGUCAGCAACGGCCCGCAGGGCGAGCCACGCAGUGGCGAGUCAUCCUC